RNAcentral lists this ribosomal RNA (484 nucleotides) under uncultured bacterium. RNAcentral describes it as "partial 16S ribosomal RNA". It matches the Rfam family "Bacterial small subunit ribosomal RNA", at positions 30 to 507 of the family's 1533-position model. The record is from RNAcentral.
AUUGAACGCUGGCGGCAGGCCUAACACAUGCAAGUCGAGCGGAUGAAGGGAGCUUGCUCCUGGAUUCAGCGGCGGACGGGUGAGUAAUGCCUAGGAAUCUGCCUGGUAGUGGGGGAUAACGUCCGGAAACGGGCGCUAAUACCGCAUACGUCCUGAGGGAGACAGUGGGGGAUCUUCGGACCUCACGCUAUCAGAUGAGCCUAGGUCGGAUUAGCUAGUUGGUGGGGUAAAGGCCUACCAAGGCGACGAUCCGUAACUGGUCUGAGAGGAUGAUCAGUCACACUGGAACUGAGACACGGUCCAGACUCCGACGGGAGGCAGCAGUGGGGAAUAUUGGACGAUGGGCGAAAGCCUGAUCCAGCCAUGCCGCGUGUGUGAAGAAGGUCUUCGGAUUGUAAAGCACUUUAAGUUGGGAGGAAGGGCAGUAAGUUAAUACCUUGCUGUUGUGACGUUACCAACAGAAUAAGCACCGGCUAACUUCGUG